RNAcentral lists this ribosomal RNA (253 nucleotides) under uncultured bacterium. RNAcentral describes it as "partial 16S ribosomal RNA". It matches the Rfam family "Bacterial small subunit ribosomal RNA", at positions 524 to 776 of the family's 1533-position model. The record is from RNAcentral.
UACGUAGGGGGCUAGCGUUGUCCGGAUUUAUUGGGCGUAAAGCGCGUGUAGGCGGCCAGGUAGGUCCGCUGUGAAAACUCGAGGCUCAACCUCGAGACGUCGGCGGAAACCCUCUGGCUAGAGUCCGGAAGAGGAGAGUGGAAUUCCUGGUGUAGCGGUGAAAUGCGCAGAUAUCAGGAAGAACACCGAUGGCGAAGGCAGCUCUCUGGGACGGUACUGACGCUGAGGCGCGAAAGCGUGGGGAGCGAACAGG